Long non-coding RNA from Panthera uncia (snow leopard), 941 nucleotides. RefSeq lists it as uncharacterized. The transcript has 2 exons. The record is from RefSeq and is a predicted model, not a curated record. NCBI's taxonomy places the organism in Eukaryota, Metazoa, Chordata, Mammalia, Carnivora, Felidae.
CUUAAAGAUGGUAGAAAUAGAUUGGAAUUGGUGGCUCUAUUAAAAAAAAAUUUUAAGUUUAUUGAUUUAUUUUGAGAGAAAGACCACGAGUGGGGGAGGGCAGAGAGAGAAUCCUAAGCAGGUUCUGUGCUGUCAGCACAGAGCUCAAGGCAGGAAUUGAAGUCACAAACCACAAGGUCAUGACCUGAGCAGGGCUCGAGUCAGACGCUUAACUGACUGAGCCACCCAGGCAUUCCUGUCUCUCUUAAUCCAUACAGAAAACUCUAGUGUGUGUGUGUGUGGGGGGGGGCAAUGUCUCCCCAGAUUUGGCCAUUAACAAGAAGACACUAGAACACUGGACAAUGUCAAAUUCAGAGUCCCAGAAGGUGGCCUCUCAUGGGCUCAGUAAAAGGUUGGUUCAAGAAACGGCGGGCUUUAUGAUUAACAGGAAGGACCUCAACUGCAAGGCAGUCUAUGCUGGUUACUCAGCCUGUGAUACCUGUGGCUCGUUCUUCCCCUUCCUGCUUUAUCGACUUCCAAAGAUUUUACUGGGAGAUGAAGCUAUGGCAGGCCUCCCCCCAGCCCCUGACAGAGGAGGCCCGAGGGGUCCUCCCGGAAACGGAAAAUCUUUUCAGCAGCUGAGGUCCAAGGCCAACUGGCUCUGAUAACCUUUGGUUAAAAUGAAACUGAAACUAAAACAACAAUAACACUAAGGACCAUAAUAAUCAGAUAUGUUUGAACCCUGUAACCUUUAGAACAAGGGUCAGUGAGGAGGAGGGAAAGGGGCUGUCUCUCCUCUGAAACCAUCAAUCCCUCCACGUACCUACCCAGGGACCGUUCGGCUGGGGAUGGAAGCCUCUCAGCCAGACCACUAGCAGGCUCCCUCAGCGACAACAACAACAACGGAAAGAACUCACGAUGAAGGCCACCAAGUUCUGAUAAAUAAAAAUUACAUACAGUCA